RNAcentral lists this ribosomal RNA (393 nucleotides) under uncultured bacterium. Its description in RNAcentral is "partial 16S ribosomal RNA". It matches the Rfam family "Bacterial small subunit ribosomal RNA", at positions 523 to 918 of the family's 1533-position model. The record is from RNAcentral.
AUACGGAGGAUCCGAGCGUUAUCCGGAUUUAUUGGGUUUAAAGGGAGCGUAGGCGGACGCUUAAGUCAGUUGUGAAAGUUUGCGGCUCAACCGUAAAAUUGCAGUUGAUACUGGGUGUCUUGAGUACAGUAGAGGCAGGCGGAAUUUGUGGGGUUAGGGUGGAAUGCUUAGAUAUCACGAAGAACUCCGAUUGCGAAGGCAGCUUGCUGGACUGUAACUGACGCUGAUGCUCGAAAGUGUGGGUAUCAAACAGGAUUAGAUACCCUGGUAGUCCACACAGUAAACGAUGAAUACUCGCUGUUUGCGAUAUACAGUAGGCGGCCAAGCGAAAGCGUUAAGUAUUCCACCUGGGGAGUACGCCGGCAACGGUGAAACUCAAAUGAAUUGACGGGG